AGCCCACCAGCUAGCUCCAUCCCUAAAUCACAACAACCCAUUAUCAAUACCCUUAAACAACCUAAGUUGACUCUAAGCCAAAUCAUUUUACCACUCAAGUAUGGGCGACAGAAAAAGACCUGCCGAAGCAAUAGCAAUAGUACCGCAAGGGAACGCUGAAAGAGAAAUGAAAUUAAACCAGUGAAGCACAAAAAAGCAGAGAUUAGUUCUCGUACCUUUUGCAUCAUGAUUUAGCAAGAAAGCGUCAAGCGAAGAGUACUUUAGUUUGACCCCCCGAAACCAAGUGAGCUACUCCAAGACAGCCUUAUAGGGCAAACCCGUCUCUGUAGCAAAAGAGUGGGAAGAGCUUUGAGUAGAGGUGACAGACCUACCGAACUUGGUUAUAGCUGGUUGUCCAAGAAAUGAAUAGGAGUUCAGCCUUUUCCCCUCUUCCCCAUGCACCCCCCCCCCCAAAAAUAUAUGAGAGGGCAAAAGAGUUACUCAAAGGAGGUACAGCUCCUUUGAAAAAAGACACAACUUUGUUAGCAGGGCAAAGAUCAUAACAUCAACAAGGAACCGUGUUCUAGUUGGCCUAAGAGCAGCCACCCAAGCAGAAAGCGUUAAAGCUCACACACACCCCCCCCCCCCNNNNNNNNNNNNNNNCAUCUUAUCCCCCCACUAGUACUGGACUAUUCCAUCCCCCUAUGGAAGAAAUUAUGCUAAUAUGAGUAAUAAGAGACUUAAGACUCUCUCCCAGCACAAGUGUACACCGGAACGAACUAACACCGUAAACUAACGGCCCCAAAAGCAGAGGGAACUGUAACACGAUGACUAAUCCACUAGAAAAGCUUCCACACCUACACCGUUAAUCUCACACUAGAGUGCAUAUAAGGAAAGACUAAAAGGAAGAGAAGGAACUCGGCA
This 903-nucleotide ribosomal RNA is filed under the name Pterapogon cf. mirifica ML-2019. RNAcentral's name for it is "partial 16S ribosomal RNA". The stretch from base 194 to 903 matches the Rfam family "Bacterial large subunit ribosomal RNA", at positions 568 to 1719 of the family's 2925-position model. The record is from RNAcentral. Lineage: Eukaryota; Metazoa; Chordata; Actinopteri; Kurtiformes; Apogonidae.